CAGUGGUAAAAACUCCGGUGGUAUGAGAUGGACCCGCGUCUGAUUAGCUAGUUGGUGGGGUAACGGCCUACCAAGGCGACGAUCAGUAGCCGACCUGAGAGGGUGACCGGCCACAUUGGGACUGAGACACGGCCCAAACUCCUACGGGAGGCAGCAGUGGGGAAUAUUGCACAAUGGGGGAAACCCUGAUGCAGCGACGCCGCGUGAAGGAUGAAGUAUUUCGGUAUGUAAACUUCUAUCAGCAGGGAAGAAAAUGACGGUACCUGACUAAGAAGCCCCGGCUAACUACGUGCCAGCAGCCGCGGUAAUACGUAGGGGGCAAGCGUUAUCCGGAUUUACUGGGUGUAAAGGGAGCGUAGACGGUAUGGCAAGUCUGAUGUGAAAGGCCAGGGCUCAACCCUGGGACUGCAUUGGAAACUGUCGAACUAGAGUGACGGAGAGGCAAGUGGAAUUCCUAGUGUAGCGGUGAAAUGCGUAGAUAUUAGGAGGAACACCAGUGGCGAAGGCGGCUUGCUGGACGAUGACUGACGUUGAGGCUUGAAAGCGUGGGGAGCAAACAGGAUUAGAUACCCUGGUAGUCCACGCCGU
This 588-nucleotide ribosomal RNA is filed under the name uncultured bacterium. RNAcentral's name for it is "bacterial SSU rRNA". It matches the Rfam family "Bacterial small subunit ribosomal RNA", at positions 195 to 803 of the family's 1533-position model. The record is from RNAcentral.